CCGCGGGGCGGAGCCUUUCUCGAGGUUAUCGCGGGAACAGCGACCCCUUGAGGAUUGCGGCGGCGCAGCCCCGGGGCGCGCCGGGAGCUCCGCCCGGCUCCUGUGGAGGAAGCGGCGAGGGCGAGCCGCGGGGUCUCGGCGCCUCUGUAUGCUUGCACUUAACGAGAACCCAGAGCGAACACGACCCACAUUUCUCUUUUUGUUUUAAGAGGAAAUAUAGGAGUUACAGCAUAGAAUUACAAUAUCUGGACAUUAGAAAUAACAGGUCCCGGUCACGGUAUGGCACCGCGCGACACACUUGGUCCCUGAGGCCUGGAUGCCGCUCAGCAAACGUUCGCGGAAUAGGGUUGGGUUUACUGUCCCCCACCGAGCCGGUUGCUCAUUCAUUCAGCAUAAUUGAAUACCUCCUGUGUGCCAGGCACUGAAUCAAGUGUCGGAGACAAUGUCCUGCCCUCAAGCUCCUGGCCGGUUACUUGACAACCUUCCGGGACCUCAACGCUAUGUGCCUACUGUGUGAAAGCAAAGUGCCAGGUGGAGGACACAAAGAUGGCGAGCGACACAGGAUAGUCCUUAACAAUUAAGCGUGACUAAUUUUAAUAACAAAUGAGAAUAUGAUGUGACAUCCGUUCCAAAUCCUGUCGUUCCAAGUAACUUCUUAAGCAUCUUUCACGAUACAGCCUCUGCUUGAAAGGAAUUAAAACAGGUACAAGCAUGGAAGGAGACGUUGCUAUCAUAUUUCAAGAAUAAGAAAAUGCUGUUUUGUGUGGUUGUGCAGCAGGCAAUGAAAUGAGCUUACAUUCAAGCUUCCGUGUUUUACUGAAACAACAGUCACAGAUGCAGUAGAUGUUAAAGGUUGAAAGACGAGUGCAGUAAAAGCAUUAUGAGGACAAGAAGAAAACGUAAAUAUUUGUGUUGUUUCAUUCUUUGUUGUGGUGGCAGAAACAGCCCCCUCUUUCUAAGGUAACUCCAAUAUAAUGAUCUCUCCCAGCUUUGAAAUACUCCAUGUCUGUUUCAUUUUCCAGAAAUAUGGAAAAAUGAAUAUAUAAUAAAAAACCCUAUUUCUCAUUUAUUGUCUAUUUUAGAUCUUUAUGUGGAAAAGCACUUACUCUCUUCCCAGAGCACUGUUUUUAAAAGUAAGGAAGGACUGAAAGGAGGAGAAACUAUGGGUUGCCUUUUCCUUCUGUCAUCUGUUCAGCAUUUCAUAGUAAAACCUUUGUUGAUUUAAUAAACAUAAUGGAUACUCAUUAAAAUAUUCAAACAGCAUAGAAAGGGACAAAGAAGAAAGCAGCCAGCAAUCCAAGUACCACUAUCCAGAAAUAGCCAGUGAUAUCUCUUUAUGUGUGGAAAUACAAUGAAAAUUGAGUGAGAGACAUACACAGAGGAAGAAGAAAAAGAAAGCAAUCAAACUCCAAAUGGUGCUGCAAACUGAACCCCACAUGGACACGCCAUUCUUCUGAGGACCCUUAGAUCCACCCCAGGAGGAGCCCUAGCUGCUGUUCCCCAUUCGAUGCCCCUUUUCAGCCGAGGUGAUAACUGGAAGAGAGCAGAAAGGGAGCAUCUGGGAUACUGCUCUAAGAGCAGGACUGCCAUAUGAGGAUGCAGAGACUGUGCCUUGUGAAACUCCAGGGGCACCAUUCAUACAAGCCAACUGGACUCCAAGUGCCACGAGAACAGAGAUUGGGUCUGGUCCCCAGCUUCAGUGCCUCCAAGGCAGAAACUCAAGAGACGUUGUUGAACUGUCAGCCUUUACAUUUAUGCAUUACUAUUGAAGGCCUGGAAUAAAUGGAUCGUGUUUUACCUGUUAUCUUGCUCAUCUCUAUUACUGCUUCAUCAGCAGCUCUUCCCAAAGCAAUAAAAUGAACAAUGGCCCCACUUUGUUUCACUUCAUCAAUACAAGAACUUGCAGUGUUAUCCUCCCCAUCAGUCAGCAGCAGUACUUCGGAUCCAUCGAGUUGGGAAUUGGCAGUACUAUCAAAGUGAACCAUCCCCAC
RNAcentral lists this long non-coding RNA (1991 nucleotides) under Homo sapiens (human). RNAcentral's name for it is "HSALNT0293533". The record is from RNAcentral. Lineage: Eukaryota; Metazoa; Chordata; Mammalia; Primates; Hominidae.